GAUGAACGCUGGCGGCGUGCCUAAUACAUGCAAGUCGAACGAAACUUCUUUAUCACCGAGUGCUUGCACUCACCGAUAAAGAGUUGAGUGGCGAACGGGUGAGUAACACGUGGGCAACCUGCCCAAAAGAGGGGGAUAACACUUGGAGACAGGUGCUACUACCGCAUAACCAUAGUUACCGCAUGGUAACUAUGUAAAAGGUGGCUAUACUACCGCUUUUGGAUGGGCCCGCGGCGCAUUAGCUAGUUGGUAGGGUAAAGGCUUACCAAGGCAAUGAUGCGUAGCCGAAUUGAGAGGUUGAUCAGCCACAUUGGGACUGAGACACGGCCCAAACUCCUACGGGAGGCAGCAGUAGGGAAUCUUCCACAAUGGGCGAAAGCCUGAUGGAGCAACGCCGCGUGGGUGAAGAAGGUCUUCGGAUCGUAAAACCCUGUUGUUAGAGAAGAAAGUGCGUGAGAGUAACUGUUCACGUUUCGACGGUAUCUAACCAGAAAGCCACGGCUAACUACGUG
This 512-nucleotide ribosomal RNA is filed under the name uncultured bacterium. RNAcentral's name for it is "partial 16S ribosomal RNA". It matches the Rfam family "Bacterial small subunit ribosomal RNA", at positions 28 to 507 of the family's 1533-position model. The record is from RNAcentral.